CACAGGCAACUCUGUGUCUAAGAAGUCAGCCAGUGCCACACCUCCAGCCGUGCACCGAGCACAGAAUGUGGGAUGGAGAUUGUUCACCUGCAGUGGUUGCUGGGCUGGAUUCUGGUGAAGGUUGUUUGGGUUCAAUGACCAGUGGGAUCCAGCUGUGGCUCGGACACUCAGCAGAGAGUCACGAGUUUGUGAGUUAGUAAGCACAGCAAACCCCAGGGGAAUAGAAGACCCUUUCACCAGGCAACAAAACAGUGCAGAAGCCAGCCCUCACUGUGGAGACCUGUGAAGCCUGGGCUGGAAGAAGAGCACGGCCUGAACAGGAGGUGAGACCAUUCCAGAAUCGUCUAUGGAACAAAUUUAUGUGAAAAGUCGAAUUUCAAGUGAAUAGAAAUUACUUGCU
Vidua chalybeata is the source of this 400-nucleotide long non-coding RNA. RefSeq lists it as uncharacterized. Lineage: Eukaryota; Metazoa; Chordata; Aves; Passeriformes; Viduidae. The record is from RefSeq and is a predicted model, not a curated record. The transcript is spliced from 3 exons.